AAAUUGAAGAGUUUGAUCAUGGCUCAGAUUGAACGCUGGCGGCAGGCCUAACACAUGCAAGUCGAACGGUAACAGGAAGAAGCUUGCUUCUUUGCUGACGAGUGGCGGACGGGUGAGUAAUGUCUGGGAAACUGCCUGAUGGAGGGGGAUAACUGCUGGAAACGGUAGCUAAUACCGCAUAACGUCGCAAGACCAAAGAGGGGGA
This 205-nucleotide ribosomal RNA is filed under the name Escherichia coli. Its description in RNAcentral is "partial 16S ribosomal RNA". It matches the Rfam family "Bacterial small subunit ribosomal RNA", at positions 1 to 213 of the family's 1533-position model. The record is from RNAcentral. Lineage: Bacteria; Pseudomonadati; Pseudomonadota; Gammaproteobacteria; Enterobacterales; Enterobacteriaceae.